AUAAACCUUAAUUACAGAUCAUAUCUCUUUGUUUCAAGUACGAGAUUCUUUGGGGUUUUUAGAUCUCACUCCAGUAUUUACCAUAGCUAUGUAAGGUAUUAGUAAUAGUGGAAAUCGGGUAUUUAGGAACUCUCUAUAAAUGUUUCUAGAUCCAUUUUUAUUUUCUGUAAAUGUAAAACUAUUUUAAAAUAAAAUUUAUUUAACAAUAAAUAAAGCUAGGAGCAAACAUAUUUUUAACAAUGAGCAUGCAUUUGCUCUCCUACUGGAAGGUCUGAAGGUUGGCUGAGAUGAUUCUGCAUUCGUUUCAGGUUUGCAAGUCAGCUGGGGCAGCUUGGAUCAACCUGGCUCAUUUGGAGCCCUGGUUACCCAGCAUAUGCUCUUCUCAUGGCAAUGUCAGGAAUACAAGAGAAAGAAGCCAACUAAACAAGCACGUCUGAAGCCUUUGCUCAUCUCAUAUCUGCCAAUGUUCUAUCAACAAAAUCAAGUCAACAGUCAAGCCAAAGUCAAGAAUAUACCUGGCAGGCAUCUGACUAUGAAAAGAUGGCCAAAGAGGGGGAAAGAUAUAGAGGCAUUCCAGCAGCACAGUAAAAACAAUCAAGUUAGCAUCCAAAAAACUGAAUCGAAAACAAUGCCGACCAGCUUUCACGUACACACAGUUCCUAAUGAGGUGGCUCCAAAGUGCCUGAGAACAAGGAAAGGAAACGAGUUGGGAUUUCCCGCGGUCUCCUGUCACCCAUGGGUGCUAUGCCUCUGCUUCCGGCACAGUCAGAAGCCAGGACAGUUUAAAUCCUGGUCCAGCAGAGAGAAGGGCCCUGGACCUGAGAUCAUCCAUCAUCAACAACCUCUCUGCCAAGAAAAGUCCAAGGCUACUUCCUUAGGAAGGGUCUUUGGACCAGGGCAUUUCAGUAAGAAGGGGAAAAUUGGACAUGACUGGCACUUAAACAAACCCAACAGGUGCAGACUGUAAAUUGGCAAAGUGACAUCAUCAAUAGAAAAUCAGACUGCAGAAAUCGAGAAACUUGGCAUAGCCCUUCUCUUUCCAGUCCACUUGACCUGGUGCUAACCAUACAACUGCCGUAAGCCUUAAUUUUCUCAUGGAGAUGGAAACGGGUUAUUGGGAAAUUCAAAUCAGAUAAUUUAUGUGAAAAUAUGUUAUAAUCUCUGAGAUGUAAAGCGUGACCACCGGAGUUUAAAAAGAAUAGAAGCAAGAAAACAAGCUGAGUCUCCAACUUGCCGGGGAAGUGAACACACUCCAGGAAAGAAAUUCACUCAAUGGUGAGUAGAAAAUGUACCAUGUUCAAGGCUUUUUUUUAUUAUAACAUCCAACAUCUUUGACAAAUUACAAAUAGAACACAGUGGUUGAUUAAGUAAGCGGUGCUAUGGUGAUGGUAAAAGCUAUCCACUAAUCUUUUCAUAAAAGACAAAUGGCCAAGUGGGGAUUUCUUUUAACAAAGAAUCAAGGGGGCCUUUAGAAACUGAAGGAUCAGAUUGUAAAGUCGGAAGCAUUGGCCUCUGUAACUGUAAUCUCCCUUUUUAAAGCUAUGUUUUCAAAGUCUUGCUGGUUGGCAGACAAGCAAAACUCAGAGCAUAUUCAUGAAAGAACAGACUGAGGACUUGCAAAGACUUUGGAGACAGGAGACCUGUGUCCUGUUCUGCUCCUGAC
Molecule: long non-coding RNA, 1663 nt
Filed under: Macaca mulatta (Rhesus monkey)
Lineage: Eukaryota; Metazoa; Chordata; Mammalia; Primates; Cercopithecidae
Description: lncRNA (ENSMMUG00000050010.1)
Source: RNAcentral